RNAcentral lists this ribosomal RNA (468 nucleotides) under uncultured bacterium. RNAcentral describes it as "partial 16S ribosomal RNA". It matches the Rfam family "Bacterial small subunit ribosomal RNA", at positions 28 to 507 of the family's 1533-position model. The record is from RNAcentral.
GACGAACGCUGGCGGCGUGCUUAACACAUGCAAGUCGAACGGAAAGGCCAUGAUCUUGUGGGUUGCUCGAGUGGCGCACGGGUGAGUAACACGUGAGUAUCCUGUACCUGUCUUUGGGAUAACUCCUGGAAACUGGGGCUAAUACCGGAUAGGAGAUCUUGCUCCAUGGUGGUGGUUGGAAAGUUUCGGCGGUUGGGGCUGGACUCGCGGCUUAUCGGCUUGUUAGUGGGGUAGUGGAUUACCAAGGCUUUGAAGGGUAGCCGGCCUGAGCGGUGGACCGGCGACAUUGGGACUGAGAGACGGCGCAGACGCCUACGGGAGGCAGCAGUGGGGAAUAUGGCACAAUGGGCGGGAGCCUGAUGCAGCAACGCCGCGUGCGGGAUGACGUCUUACGGGGGGUAAACCGCUGUCGCCUGUGACGAAGCGUGAGUGACGGUAAUGGGUAAAGAAGCACCGGCUAACUACGUG